Molecule: non-coding RNA, 80 nt
Organism: Schistosoma haematobium
Lineage: Eukaryota; Metazoa; Platyhelminthes; Trematoda; Strigeidida; Schistosomatidae
Source: Rfam
AGCCUUCUGUAUCCGUGCUGAGAUUUUGUCACACACCAAACCACAAGAGCUGAUAAGACUCCCAAGUAGACCUUUGAGUU